RNAcentral lists this ribosomal RNA (2631 nucleotides) under Geophilus carpophagus. RNAcentral describes it as "partial 28S ribosomal RNA". It matches the Rfam family "Eukaryotic large subunit ribosomal RNA", at positions 77 to 1862 of the family's 3401-position model. Lineage: Eukaryota; Metazoa; Arthropoda; Chilopoda; Geophilomorpha; Geophilidae. The record is from RNAcentral.
CCCUCAGUAACUGCGAGUGAAAAGGGAAAAGCCCAGCGCCGAAGCCGCCGUCCAUCGCAAUGGGCGGAAAGGCAAUGUGGCGUUAAGGACGAACCUCUUUGACCAGACGUUUCGUUGACCGAACCGCGGAAGCCCGAGUCCCCCUGACCGGGGCCACAGCCCAUGGCGGGUGCAAGGCCUCUUCGGCUUCGUUCGACGGUUCGGAGGUUGCUGGUUCGAUCCUCAGAGUCGGGUUGCUUGAGAGUGCAGCUCUAAGUGGGUGGUAAACUCCACCUAAGGCUAAAUAUGACCACGAGACCGAUAGCGAACAAGUACCGUGAGGGAAAGUUGCAAAGAACUUUGAAGAGAGAGUUCAAGAGUACGUGAAACCGCUCGGAGGCAAACGGAUGGGUCCUCGAAGGUCGAACGGGGGAAUUCAGCGCGUCGGCUAACAAACAAAACACGCUCUCCCUAAUGUGGCUUAAAAGCAUUCGUGCGAAACGGAUCCUCUUCCAAAGGGACCGGGCUGCAGGGUUGCGUGAGCUGGCACGUGCACUUUCCCCUCAGUAGGACGCCGCGACCGGUCGGGUCAAUAAUACAAAAAAGUCAGCGGCCAUAAGGCGAGAUCUAAACGAGGAAGGUGUCCGUUACCGUUUAAGGUCUCUCUCCGCGCGUUUUAAACACGCUGCGGUCUGAACCACGGUCGGAGUUACAGCCUCUUCUCGACCUGUGCCCCGACACCCGACCGACAAAUGGUCACGAAUCCGUUGACGCGUGCCCGCGUAAACGUGAACGCGUGUGUAAAAAACACGCGCGAACGGGAGCGCUCGCCCUAGUCCCGGGCAGGCAGGAUGUGUCGAGUAAAAAUUCCUUCAAUUUCCCGUCACACGGAAAUAGGAAUCCGAUCGACGCCGGUCAAAAAACCAAAAAGGCGGCUUUCGGCUCCGCGUCCGCCGUUACGCCCACGGGGAAGAGCAAUCUGGCGAAGUGGCAAGCUCGCGGUCGGCGGCGAGUAGNNNNNNNNNNNNNNNNNNNNNNNNNNNNNNNNNNNNNNNNNNNNNNNNNNNNNNNNNNNNNNNGGGUCUGGCUUCUAACCAAAGCUAAACCCGAAGGCGAAAUGAAAGUGAAGGUCCGCUCCUAAAAAAAGCGACCGAGGCGAGAUCCUAAAAAAUUAUAACCGGAUACAAUAGGCGCGUUCGUCUCUCCUUUUUUAAAGGGGGGCAAACGGUCCGGAGGCGCAUCGCCGGCCCGUCUCGACCGCAUCCCUUCUCGUCGCCAUUCGUAUUACGAAGAGGCACGCGCUUUUUCUUUUUCUCUUUUUUUUUUUCUUUCCUUCUUGCCGCUCGCGCGGUAGGAUGGUUCGAGAAGGAAGAGGGACGGGGAGAAGUUAGCGUGGCGAUUCUGCCGAGUGGUUUUCGACGGUCGGGAAUCUGUGUCGGUGAGGCGGAGCAAGAGCACACACGUUGGGACCCGAAAGAUGGUGAACUAUGCUCGGGCAGGACGAAGCCAGAGGAAACUCUGGUGGAAGUCCGCAGCGAUUCUGACGUGCAAAUCGAUCGUCGGACCUGAGUAUAGGGGCGAAAGACUAAUCGAACCGUCUAGUAGCUGGUUCCCUCCGAAGUUUCCCUCAGGAUAGCUGGCGCUCGUACGAAACAAAGAAAGAGACAAAACAGUCUCAUCCGGUAAAGCGAAUGAUUAGAGGCAUUGGGGCCGAAACGGCCUCAACCUAUUCUCAAACUUUCAAUGGGUGAGAUGUCCGACUUGCUCGAAAAAAUUUUUUGAAGCGCGGACAUAGGAUGCGAGUGCCCAGUGGGCCACUUUUGGUAAGCAGAACUGGCGCUGUGGGAUGAACCAAAAGCCGGGUUACGGCGCCCGAUGCGGACGCUUAUCAGACCCCAUGAAAGGUGUUGGUUGCUAUAGACAGCAGGACGGUGGCCAUGGAAGUCGGAAUCCGCUAAGGAGUGUGUAACAACUCACCUGCCGAAGCAACUAGCCCUGAAAAUGGAUGGCGCUCCAGCGUCGAGCCUAACCCCGGCCGUCGGCGGCAAAACAAAUUGACUUUUAUUCAAAUAAAAUCAAUGCCCCGACGAGUAGGAGGGUCGCGGUGGCGUGCGUUGAAGGGAUCGGGCGCGAGCUCACCUGGAGCCGCCACCGGUGCAGAUCUUGGUGGUAGUAGCAAAUACUCGAGUGAGAACCUUGAGGACUGAAGUGGAGAAGGGUUCCAUGUGAACAGCAGUUGAACAUGGGUCAGUCGGCCCUAAGGAAUAGGGGAAACCCGUUCCGAAAAACCGGAAUGCAAAUUUAAACAUUAACAAAAAAUUUGACCGGUGACGACCGAAAGGGAAUCGGGUUAAUAUUCCCGAACCCGGAUGCGGAGAUCGAUCUUCUUCUCUUGUCCUUUAAUCGGGACGGAGGAAAGGUCUAAAGCGGUAACGCGUAACGAACUCGGAGAAUGCCGGCGGGGGCCUCGGGAAGAGUUUUCUUUUCUUUGUAAAGGACGGACUCCCUGGAAUCGGCUCGCCCGGAGAGAGGGAUGUUGUUCCUGUAAAGCACCGCGGCUCUUGCGGUGUCCGAAGCGCUCUCGUCGGCCCUUGAAAAUCCGAGGGAGUGAAUAAUGAUUUCCGCACCGGACCGUACCCAUAUCCGCAGCAG